RNAcentral lists this ribosomal RNA (253 nucleotides) under uncultured bacterium. RNAcentral's name for it is "partial 16S ribosomal RNA". It matches the Rfam family "Bacterial small subunit ribosomal RNA", at positions 524 to 776 of the family's 1533-position model. The record is from RNAcentral.
UACGUAGGGUGCAAGCGUUGUCCGGAAUUAUUGGGCGUAAAGAGCUCGUAGGCGGUUUGUUGCGUCGGCUGUGAAAACCCGGGGCUCAACUCCGGGCCUGCAGCCGAUACGGGCAGACUAGAGUUCGGCAGGGGAGACUGGAAUUCCUGGUGUAGCGGUGAAAUGCGCAGAUAUCAGGAGGAACACCGGUGGCGAAGGCGGAUCUCUGGGCCUUACCUGACGCUGAGGCGCGAAAGCUAGGGGAGCGAACAGG